Molecule: non-coding RNA, 122 nt
Organism: Geomicrobium sp. JCM 19038
Lineage: Bacteria; Bacillati; Bacillota; Bacilli; Caryophanales
Source: Rfam
UAGCCCUUUAACACAGUCCAGAGAGGCUGAGAAGGAUACGUAGAAGACACGUCCUAGGUGACGUCUGUUUUCUGAAUAUGUAUACUCAACCCCUCUCUAUUACGGAGCAGGGGUUUUUUAUA